This 916-nucleotide ribosomal RNA is filed under the name uncultured Candidatus Poseidoniales archaeon. RNAcentral's name for it is "SSU rRNA". It matches the Rfam family "Archaeal small subunit ribosomal RNA", at positions 1 to 923 of the family's 1478-position model. Lineage: Archaea; Methanobacteriati; Thermoplasmatota; Candidatus Poseidoniia; Candidatus Poseidoniales. The record is from RNAcentral.
UUCCGGUUGAUCCUGCCGGAGGCUACCGCUAUUGGAGUUCGAUUAAGCCAUGCGAGUCGAGAGUCUUAGGGACUCGGCGUACCGCUCAGUAACACGUGGGUAACCUGCCCUAUGCUGGGGAAUAACCUCGGGAAACUGAGAAUAAUACCCCAUAGUUCACCACGCCUGGAACGGUGGGUGGAUGAAAGCUCCGGCGGCAUAGGAUGGGCCUGCGACGUAUCAGGUUGUAGGGGGUGUAACGUACCCUCUAGCCAUCAACGCGUACGGGUGUUGGGAGACAUAGCCCGGAGAUGGAUUCUGAGACACGAAUCCAGACCCUACGGGGUGCAGCAGGCGCGAAAACUUGGCAAUGCGAGCAAUCGUGACCAGGGAACUCCAAGUGGCUGGGGUAAUACCCAGUUUUUUCUUGACUCUUCAAAGGUCUUGGAAUAAGGGGUGGGUAAGGACGGUGCCAGCCGCCGCGGUAAUACCGGCGCCUCAAGUGGUAGUCGCUUUUAUUGGGCCUAAAACGUCCGUAGCCGGUCUGGUGCAUUCGUGGGUAAAUCAACCCGCUCAACGGGUUGAAUUCUGCGAGCACGGCCAGACUUGGGACCGGGAGAGGUGUGGGGUACUCUCAGGGUAGGGGUAAAAUCCUGUCAUCCUGAGAGGACCACCUGUUGCGAAGGCGCCACACUAGAACGGAUUCGACGGUCAGGGACGAAACCUAGGGGCACGAACCGGAUUAGAUACCCGGGUAGUCCUAGGUGUAAACGCUGUGGACUUGAUGUUGGGGGUGCUCCGAGCACUCUCAGUGUCGAAGCGAAGGUGAUAAGUCCACUGCCUGGGGAGUACGGUCGCAAGGCUGAAACUUAAAGGAAUUGGCGGGGGAGCACUGCAACCUGAGGAUUGUGCGGUUUAAUUGGACUCAACGCCGGGA